This 254-nucleotide ribosomal RNA is filed under the name uncultured bacterium. RNAcentral's name for it is "partial 16S ribosomal RNA". It matches the Rfam family "Bacterial small subunit ribosomal RNA", at positions 524 to 776 of the family's 1533-position model. The record is from RNAcentral.
UACGAAGGGGGCUAGCGUUGCUCGGAAUGACUGGGCGUAAAGGGCGCGUAGGCGGUUUGGACAGUCAGAUGUGAAAUUCCUGGGCUCAACCUGGGGGCUGCAUUUGAUACGUUCGGACUAGAGUGGGGAAGAGGGUCGUGGAAUUCCCAGUGUAGAGGUGAAAUUCGUAGAUAUUGGGAAGAACACCGGUGGCGAAGGCGGCGACCUGGUCCUUGACUGACGCUGAGGCGCGAAAGCGUGGGGGAGCAAACAGG